RNAcentral lists this ribosomal RNA (792 nucleotides) under Escherichia coli. RNAcentral describes it as "partial 23S ribosomal RNA". It matches the Rfam family "Bacterial large subunit ribosomal RNA", at positions 954 to 1746 of the family's 2925-position model. Lineage: Bacteria; Pseudomonadati; Pseudomonadota; Gammaproteobacteria; Enterobacterales; Enterobacteriaceae. The record is from RNAcentral.
CUGCGAAUACCGGAGAAUGUUAUCACGGGAGACACACGGCGGGUGCUAACGUCCGUCGUGAAGAGGGAAACAACCCAGACCGCCAGCUAAGGUCCCAAAGUCAUGGUUAAGUGGGAAACGAUGUGGGAAGGCCCAGACAGCCAGGAUGUUGGCUUAGAAGCAGCCAUCAUUUAAAGAAAGCGUAAUAGCUCACUGGUCGAGUCGGCCUGCGCGGAAGAUGUAACGGGGCUAAACCAUGCACCGAAGCUGCGGCAGCGACGCUGAUGCGUUGUUGGGUAGGGGAGCGUUCUGUAAGCCUGUGAAGGUGUGCUGUGAGGCAUGCUGGAGGUAUCAGAAGUGCGAAUGCUGACAUAAGUAACGAUAAAGCGGGUGAAAAGCCCGCUCGCCGGAAGACCAAGGGUUCCUGUCCAACGUUAAUCGGGGCAGGGUGAGUCGACCCCUAAGGCGAGGCCGAAAGGCGUAGUCGAUGGGAAACAGGUUAAUAUUCCUGUACUUGGUGUUACUGCGAAGGGGGGACGGAGAAGGCUAUGUUGGCCGGGCGACGGUUGUCCCGGUUUAAGCGUGUAGGCUGGUUUUCCAGGCAAAUCCGGAAAAUCAAGGCUGAGGCGUGAUGACGAGGCACUACGGUGCUGAAGCAACAAAUGCCCUGCUUCCAGGAAAAGCCUCUAAGCAUCAGGUAACAUCAAAUCGUACCCCAAACCGACACAGGUGGUCAGGUAGAGAAUACCAAGGCGCUUGAGAGAACUCGGGUGAAGGAACUAGGCAAAAUGGUGCCGUAACUUCGGGAGAAGG